GAUGAACGCUGGCGGCGUGCCUAAUACAUGCAAGUCGAGCGAACGGACGAGAAGCUUGCUUCUCUGAUGUUAGCGGCGGACGGGUGAGUAACACGUGGAUAACCUACCUAUAAGACUGGGAUAACUUCGGGAAACCGGAGCUAAUACCGGAUAAUAUUUUGAACCGCAUGGUUCAAAAGUGAAAGACGGUCUUGCUGUCACUUAUAGAUGGAUCCGCGCUGCAUUAGCUAGUUGGUAAGGUAACGGCUUACCAAGGCAACGAUGCAUAGCCGACCUGAGAGGGUGAUCGGCCACACUGGAACUGGGACGCGGUCCAGACUCCUACGGGAGGCAGCAGUAGGGAAUCUUCCGCAAUGGGGGAAAGCCUGACGGAGCAACGCCGCGUGAGUGAUGAAGGUCUUCGGAUCGUAAAACUCUGUUAUUAGGGAAGAACAUAUGUGUAAGUAACUGUGCACAUCUUGACGGUACCUAAUCAGAAAGCCACGGCUAACUACGUG
RNAcentral lists this ribosomal RNA (497 nucleotides) under uncultured bacterium. RNAcentral's name for it is "partial 16S ribosomal RNA". It matches the Rfam family "Bacterial small subunit ribosomal RNA", at positions 28 to 507 of the family's 1533-position model. The record is from RNAcentral.